CCUACGGGUGGCAGCAGUGAGGAAUAUUGGUCAGUGGACGAGAGUCUGAACCAGCCAAGUAGCGUGAAGGAUGACUGCCCUAUGGGCUGUAAACUUCUUUUUUAUGGGAAUAAAAUGUUCCACGUGUGUGAUGUUGUAUGUACCAUAUGAAUAAGGAUCGGCGAACUCCGUACCAGCAGCCGCGGUAAUACGGAGGAUCCGAGCGUUAUCCGGAUUUAUUGGGUGUAAAGGGAGAGUAGGUGGAAUGUUAAGUCAGUUGUGAAAGUUUGCGGCUCAACCGUAAAAUUGCAGUUGAAACUGGCAGUCUUGAGUGCAGUAGAGGUGGGCGGAAUUCGUGGUGUAGCGGUGAAAGGCUUAGAUAUCACGAAGAACUCCGAUUGCGAAGGCAGCUCACUGGACUGCAACUGACACUGAGGCUCGAAAGUGUGGGUAUCAAACAGGAUUAGAUACCCCAGUAGUC
This 460-nucleotide ribosomal RNA is filed under the name uncultured bacterium. RNAcentral's name for it is "partial 16S ribosomal RNA". It matches the Rfam family "Bacterial small subunit ribosomal RNA", at positions 338 to 795 of the family's 1533-position model. The record is from RNAcentral.